UCUUGAAAUGUGGCCCAAAACUUUACUAACUCGACCACACCCUUCGCUCAUUUAGCCUAGUUCCAGAGGUAAGAAAAUAUCUAUCCUUUUUGGGUCCAAAUCUUUGAAACUCCUCUAUUCCUUCCCCUUUCAACCUAAUGGACCACCUCGCCCCUCCUUUGCCUCUUAAAUCUCAACGCAAAACUCAUCUCACACUGGCCAGUGGAUUGUCCUGCUCGAGGGAAAGAACAAAUUCCUUAAUUUUUGGUUUGCGGUGUUUUUGGGUAGAUGGCUUUUCGAGGUCGGGGGCGGGGGCGUGGAUAUGGAGGCGCAGAUGGCUAUGGAUUUGCCAAACAAGAGCCAUUUGAGCUUUUCACUGUUAUUGAAUUGCCUAACAUCAAAAGCGUGCAUAAGGAAGAAACCCUAGUUAGGGAGAGUGUAAAGUUGCAAAUUUUUGUGAAGGCCUCUGCUUAUUCUCUUGACGAGACUGUUUCUAAAAGGAAGCAUAUUUGAUUUUGUGUUGGAAUGGCAGCUUGCUUAUAAGCCAAUACCUCUAGGUUUUCACUAGAUUAUAUCACUGUAAUUUUUUUCAAUUCUCAGAUUUCUGGUGUCAGAUAGCCGAAGCACAGAGAUAGAGACAUAUUCUGACAUGACAAAACCAAAGACUACAAUAACUCGUGAUUCUCUUUCACAAAUUUUAGAGCUUAAAAGAUUUCCUCAAGAACUGAUCGGAGACCUUUCUCAUGGGCCCAUGGCACAAUAAAAUUCCCAGGUUCGAAGGGGCAACAGCCAAGUCAGAAAAAAGUUAGAUGGAAUCCAGAGUCAGGUUUGAUGAGAUAGAAUGCCUUUCUCGUUUGCUUUAGUAUUUUUGGGAUGUAUGCCAUCUAAUUUUCAUAUUUUUGGAAGUCUUACGUGCCCAAUCUUGAUAUGUUAUUGAUGGAGAUCAGUCCCUCAAAAGUGUUUGUUUGUAAAAAAUUUGUCAUUGCAAGCAUUUCAAUUUCUUUUGUCAAUAUGAGAUCAUUGAGUUUCAGUUUAAUGAAUGGAAAAGUCAAACCACUACAAUUCCAACUUCACAUCGACCCAUUGUUUAUGAUAAUUUCUCGAGUUUUUUGAGAUUUUGGUUACUCGUGUUUUUGUUAUUUUUUAUGUAUUAUAUUUUUAGUGUAUGACUAGUUCUGAUAUUCUCAACUUGGUAAAAUGAAAAUUUGAGUGCAACAACUUUAAUAUAUAUAUAUAUAUAUAUAUAUUGGAAAGCAUCAUCAGCAUUUAUGGUGAGAUGACAUUUCUAUAUAUCAUUGAUCUAUAUUUCUUUGUAGAUAGUUGUGCCCUACCAAAGUAUGUUUUUUUGGAUGUUAUGUUAAAUGGAGUGAAAUCUUUUCUCUGGCAGAGCUGCAGAAGCUAGAUUAUUUAGAAAAGCUAGAACAAAGGGCUCAGGUAAACGACUUCCAACUUUUGUAACUCUACUACAUACAUUACUUGGACAAAGAUCAUUUUGGUAUCACUUCUUAGAACUGCAUAUAUGAAUCAAUCUUGAUAUGCUCCUUGAUUAAGGGGAAUAAUCACAGAAUAUAAUGUUCUACCUGUUCCUAUCAGUACUUUGUCAGCCUCUAUUGUUCAAGGUCAUGCUCCCUUUUCAGUUUUCUCUUGAUUAGAUUCCUGUUUUUUCUGAUCCAUGUAAUUAUGUAGGGCCAAGAGAAUAAAGAUGAAAAGGACAAGAAAGAAGGCGAAAAUGAAGAUGAAAAUGAUGGAGAAGAAGACAUUGAGGAAGAACCUAGUGAUGAUGAUUAUUUUCAGGUUUCUAAAAACCAUAUGCUCUAUGUUCUGGAUUU
Carya illinoinensis is the source of this 1808-nucleotide RNA transcript. It is a transcript of the gene named DNA-directed RNA polymerase III subunit RPC7-like, with no coding region annotated. NCBI's taxonomy places the organism in Eukaryota, Viridiplantae, Streptophyta, Magnoliopsida, Fagales, Juglandaceae. The record is from RefSeq and is a predicted model, not a curated record. The transcript has 3 exons.